AUAUCAGUCAUGCAUAGCAUAUCAAUAAGCGGAGGAAAAGGAACUAACAAGGAUUCCCUUAGUAACGGCGAGUGAAGCGGGAAGAGCUCAAAUUUGAAAUCUUCAAGGUUUUACCUUGACGAAUUGUAGUUUAAAGAAGUGUUUUCUGUUGAAGUUUUGGUAAAAGUUCUUUGGAAUAGGACAUCAUAGAGGGUGAGAAUCCCGUAUUUGACCAUUACUUUCAGCUUUGUGAUACACUUUCAAAGAGUCGGAUUGUUUGGGAAUGCAGUCCAAAAUGGGUGGUAAAUUUCAUCUAAAGCUAAAUAUUGGCGAGAGACCGAUAGCGAACAAGUACCGUGAGGGAAAGAUGAAAAGAACUUUGAAAAGAGAGUUAAACAGUACGUGAAAUUGUCAAAAGGGAAGCGUUUGACACCAGUGUUGUUUUCUCGAAAAUCAAUUAAAAAGAGUUGGAUUUUGUGUUGUAUUGACUUUAUCGGCUUUCUUCACUCUUUUCCAGCUUUUUUUAAUGCACUUUUCGUUUAACAAGUCAACAUCAGUUUCUUUUGUUGUAAAAAGGUCAUUGGAAGGUGGCUUUCUCUUCGGAGAAAGUGUUUAUAGCCUUUGACUCAUGCAAUCGGAGAGACUGAGGUCUGCAGCGUAGAUCCUUCGGGGUUAGAUACAUUUGUGCUAAGUUAUAGCUUUUCAUAGACAACUUGUUGACUAUGUUUAGUCUUGUAGCUUACUCGCUUAUGCUAUUUUACCUACGCUUAGGAUGUUGAACUCUAUCACACACAG
Molecule: ribosomal RNA, 774 nt
Filed under: uncultured Neocallimastigales
Lineage: Eukaryota; Fungi; Neocallimastigomycota; Neocallimastigomycetes; Neocallimastigales
Description: partial large subunit ribosomal RNA
Rfam family: Eukaryotic large subunit ribosomal RNA
Source: RNAcentral